Long non-coding RNA from Acinonyx jubatus (cheetah), 2392 nucleotides. RefSeq lists it as uncharacterized. The transcript has 3 exons. The record is from RefSeq and is a predicted model, not a curated record. Lineage: Eukaryota; Metazoa; Chordata; Mammalia; Carnivora; Felidae.
CGGACCCUUGCUGGCAUUCCAUGAUGCUUGACACAGAAGGAAGCUAGAGAUGGCUAUGAGGGUUUGCUGGAACCUUACCAGAGUCAUGUCUCAUGGGCUGUAGGCCAGCCUGUUUCUAACAGAGAAUAUGUCUAUGUUGCCCCCAAGGAUGUGGCUACUUUUCUGUUCCCCAAUGAGGCCAUUGUCCAGAGACGGGAACUAGAGCAUUCCUCUGCUCUGAUUUCCAGGAACGGUGAACGACACCGGGAGUGAUUAGCUGAAACCAAGGAGAGGUCUUUGGGCUCCACCUGCAGAAGAUUCAUCUCGAAAAAGAAAGACCUGUUUCCACAACCGUUUCUGCUUUAUACAUGCCUUUUUCAAAUGCCUUCUAUUUGGGGAAAACCUUUCAGCUUUCAGCCUUUUCCCCUUCGGGCUUCUGACCUCUCACCUACUUUGAAUGAUUCACUGAGGCUAUUCAUUGCCCUGGAAUGUUGGCUUUGGCAAGGGACCGCAAGUCUCUUAAAAUAAACACAACUGCGCUUUCAUCCCACAGAGAUCACUGCUGGCUGCAUAUUUCACACACUGUAUGGCAGGAUAUGUUAAAUUAAAAUCAUAAUCUCCCAAGUGAAAUCCAGGGCCUGGUUAAGCCACGCGAGAAUUACUCAUGCAUUUCCUUCCAAAGAAGUGUAUGAGUAAGAUCUUCAGCCAUUAAGUCUCCCAGGUAAUAGUCUCAUCCCCUCCCAACUAUCCUAGCCCACAGUAAAUGAAACCCGUCCAGAAGGAGGUCAUUCGCAAAGGAAGAAGUCAAUGCCAACACCCUGUGAAAUAGAGUAUCUCGUAGGUUUCUCGCCUACGCAGCGGAGGAUAUUACACUAACCUUCCUGAGCUCACAGAGUGGUUGUCAUGACAGAUAAAGAAGAUAAAGCCGCCGUGUAUAAGACCACCCAUUAUGGCCUAUGAUAAAACAAGCGGGCCAACUUAAGAAGAAUUCAGAAUCCCUUUGAAAGCAGUCAAACCUUCAAAAUUGCCUGAGAUCAGUUCUGGUUUGCUGAAGAUUCUGUAUUCAUUACUGACCGUAUCAGCCACUGGCCAAAGAAGUAAGGUUCCUUUUCAGUUCUAAGAGCCUGGAUAUAUACUUAUUUUACAAGUAAUGAGGUGAAAGGGAAUGAGUCCAGCAUUUCCUUUCUAGCAGUCAAAAAUAGAAUAAUUGGGGAAGGGGAGAUUUAAGCAUAAUUAUCUUAAGCUCCUUUAAAUCACUUCACUCUUUGCAGAACAGCUUGAAGACAUAUCCAGGCUUGUUUGCAUGAUGCUGCUAGAAUAUUACCGUUCUUUCCUAUGAAUCCCUGAAUUCUCUCAACAUCCCCUUGCCAGGGAAACUCUAGGCAUUUAUCAGGAGUCAUGUUGUGUGAUUACCACACUCAUCUUCCUUCACUUCCACUAGCUUACGUUAGGAGACACCUGCUAACAGCCUCCAGAGUAUCUGAUACUUCCCCAGGAACAUUCCUCUCACUGUACAAUGAUUGUUUGCUCAACCUGCUGACGUCUCCAUCACACUGUGGGCUCCCUAAGGGCUGGGCUGUAUCUGUCUUGCUCCCCAUUGUGCAUAAUGUCUGGCACAUAGCACAAUAAGAGCUCCAAAUAGUUUGUGAAUAAAUGGAAUGAGUGUCUUUGCCCUCUCUCCGAGGGCUUAAGUCGCUGGAGGUCAACAAUCCAGCUACGCUAACCAAGUUUCCUUGAUUCAUUUCGGGUCACUAGCUCAAACCUAUCAAGAAAGAAACAGGCGUUUUUGUGCAGCUAACACAGAGGUGCUCACAUAUCCAUUUAUUUGUUUCACAAAUAUUUAUGGAACGCCCUCUAUGGGCCAGGCUUGUGCUAGGUGCUAGAAUAGAAUCGUGAGCAAAACUAGACAAGGCCACUGCCCUCCCGGAGCAUAGAGUUUUAGGAGACAGAUGUUAACAAAUAAUUACGUGAACGAGAAAUCAGAAAUGUGAAGUAAACUAUUAAACUUGCAAAAUUUAGACAGUUAAAUGAUGCCAAGUGUUGUGUGGAUGUAAACAUCUAGAAAUCUUUAUGUUCUAAUGGGGGGACUGUUGUAGACUGGUACAUUCUGGAAACACCUGGAAUUAUACGAUCAACGUAACUGUAUGCAUGCCAUAUGGUCCAGUAAUUGCCCCCAACAAAUUGCUGUAUGGGCCCAAAGGAUAUGGACAAAUAGACAGAUACAUAUUCAUUUCAAUAUUACUUGUGGUGUUGAAGAGUUAGACACAAACUUGCGUCCAACUAGAAGGAAGAAUAGGAAAAAUGUAAGAGAUAUAUUCCAUGAAGAUACCCAAUGGUUGGAAGCUAGAUCAGAGCAAACUGUGGUUGAUGUGUGAAAUAUGGCCCACCUCCUAUUGUUUGGGAUUUUUGUAAA